This 934-nucleotide long non-coding RNA is filed under the name Nicotiana tabacum (common tobacco). Its description in RNAcentral is "long non-coding RNA (NTAB_LNC005870)". The record is from RNAcentral. Lineage: Eukaryota; Viridiplantae; Streptophyta; Magnoliopsida; Solanales; Solanaceae.
GGCAUGCUUAUGUGUCUGAAGAUCUCUGUACUUCUUGGUCAGACCAUGGCCUAUAAAAAAAUAAAACAAUCAAAACUGGUUUAAAGCUUCAGGUUCAUGCCACCAGAAUUGUUUCUCCGUUAGAUUUGUAAACUCAUCUAUAACAUAAAUUCUAAACGGACUUGUGUAGUCUUGAAAUAUUCGAGUUCUUCAAUGAAAAACAGAAGCUUUUAGUUCUAUUCAAGUCAAUCAAGUUGAGUUCCACUAAAGAAAUGUGGUUUAGCUAAAUUCGUGAGUUUCACAAUACUUUAUCAUUUAAGUGGACAUUUCAAAUAUCCUCGGCAAUCCCCAACUCUUCCUUCAUUAUCUAGAACAAGCAAAAGAAAAUUAAAGAAAUAUAAACAAAUGCAUUUUCAAAAAUAUAAAAAUAUUAAAAUGUAGGUGAAUAUGUUAGACAAUAAAGCGGUAUAAAAAAUUCUAAUAGAACGAUUUCAAACCUCUUAUGCGAAACCCACAACAAAUCUAUCCAUACACAGAUACAUUAAAAGAUCUACAAGUCGUCUAACCCAUGUUUUCCCCAAAUUAAGAAGAAAGGCACAGUAUUCCGUGAAAAAUUCAUUUACUCUACAUUCAGAAGCAAAUUUAAAUAAUAGAAUUUCUUCAAUUAAAUGCAAGUACCAAAUAAAAGUAGUAAAUGCCUAGAUAAAUCGAGUACUGACUUGAACAAAUUCUCUAUUGGUUUCAACAAAAUCGAUAAAACUCGAAUACCGAACCUUUCUUGUUGUCUGGAGAAGCUGAGUGAAGUAAAUCAGAUCUUCUUCUGAAGAUCGUCGCCGACUACGUGCCAUCGACAAUCCCAUCUUUUGAAAAAUCGAGUGCAGAAAAAGUUUUCUUCGUGGGUUUCAAGCCCUAGACCUAGAGUGAGGGGGAAGCUAUGGAAAAUUUUAGGGGGAAU